Molecule: ribosomal RNA, 263 nt
Filed under: uncultured bacterium
Lineage: Bacteria
Description: partial 16S ribosomal RNA
Rfam family: Bacterial small subunit ribosomal RNA
Source: RNAcentral
CUUAGUGACGGACGGGUGAGUAACGCGUGGGUAACCUGCCUUACACUGGGGGAUAACACUUAGAAAUAGGUGCUAAUACCGCAUAAGCGCACGAAGCCGCAUGGAUUUGUGUGAAAAACUCCGGUGGUGUAAGAUGGACCCGCGUCUGAUUAGCUUGUUGGCGGGGUAACGGCCCACCAAGGCGACGAUCAGUAGCCGGCCUGAGAGGGUGGACGGCCACAUUGGGACUGAGACACGGCCCAAACUCCUACGGAAGGCAGCAG